GUCCACGCCGUAAACGAUGGGCACUAGGUGUGGGAGGUGUCGACUCCUCCCGUGCCGACGCUAACGCAUUAAGUGCCCCGCCUGGGGAGUACGGCCGCAAGGCUAAAACUCAAAGGAAUUGACGGGGACCCGCACAAGCAGCGGAGCAUGUGGUUUAAUUCGACGCAACGCGAAGAACCUUACCUGGGCUUGACAUGUUGGUGACCGGUGUGGAAACACACCUUUCCUUCGGGACACCAUCACAGGUGGUGCAUGGCUGUCGU
RNAcentral lists this ribosomal RNA (263 nucleotides) under uncultured bacterium. Its description in RNAcentral is "partial 16S ribosomal RNA". It matches the Rfam family "Bacterial small subunit ribosomal RNA", at positions 793 to 1055 of the family's 1533-position model. The record is from RNAcentral.